Molecule: ribosomal RNA, 265 nt
Filed under: uncultured bacterium
Lineage: Bacteria
Description: partial 16S ribosomal RNA
Rfam family: Bacterial small subunit ribosomal RNA
Source: RNAcentral
GUCCACGCCGUAAACGAUGAGAACUAGUUGUGGCGGGUAUUAACCCCUGCCGUGACGUAGCAAACGCGUUAAGUUCUCCGCCUGGGGAGUACGGUCGCAAGACUAAAACUCAAAGGAAUUGACGGGGCCCGCACAAGCGGUGGAUUAUGUGGUUUAAUUCGAAGCAACGCGCAAAACCUUACCUGGGUUUGAAAUCCCGCGAAUCCGUCAGAGAUGAUGGAGUGCCCUUCGGGGAAUGCGGAGACAGGCGCUGCAUGGCUGUCGU